Molecule: long non-coding RNA, 7219 nt
Organism: Brassica rapa (field mustard)
Lineage: Eukaryota; Viridiplantae; Streptophyta; Magnoliopsida; Brassicales; Brassicaceae
Source: RefSeq, a predicted model, not a curated record
AUAUAAUAACAAUACUCCGUAAUGCAGUUUUAGGGAUCUUUUAGACUCUUUGAUCAAAUCUUUUCAAAAUUUCAGAUGCAGGGAUAAACAAAGGAAGGAGGCUUCACGGCUUCAAGCUGUGAACAGGAAGUUGACGGCAAUGAACAAGCUCUUGAUGGAGGAGAAUGAUAGGUUGCACUCUUGCAGAAGCAAGUGUCACACCUGGUUCAUGAAAACAGCUACUUCUGUCAACACAUUCCCAAUGUAAAAAUCCUUAUCUUGAAGAUUAGUAGUUUGUUUUACUUUAAAAAGAGUUCCAUAUUGAUUUUGUUUUAUCUUUUGGUUCAAGGCUUUACUUCCAGCUAAAGACACAAGCUGUGAAUCGGUGGUGACGAGUGGUCUAGAGCCUACAAGGGUAUGUGUAGAUAGAACCAUUCCUAUGCAAUGCUCUACUACUACUACUACUACCUUACAUAUGUAGCAAGACUGAUCUGCUUCUCUUUUUUUUCUGUUCCAGGUCGCAUAGAUCGUCAAGAAUCGCCUUCGUGGUUCUGCGAAUGCCGAGCUGUUGAUGUUAUGAAUGUGUUGUAUUCUUACGAGGCUUUAGAGAAGUGAGAUCAAUGCAAUGCAUACAACUACAGAUGUCAGCUUUUGAAUCUGUUGAUAUGUUUUAAUAUAACUGCAAUGUGAUCUUAUUGUUUUGAUUCUUUCAUGUGGAUUAAUGUUUCUUACUUUCUAUGAAACUUUGGGAUAUGAUGACAAAAUACGAAAUCUCUAAGGCUAAUGCUCUGCAAUAAGAAAUUUUUGGACAGUUUUAAUUUGUAUCAGAUAACAAUAAGUUAAAGAAAACUAAAGUAUGCUAGAAACACCAAAACUAAGAACGAAAACAAAACAUAAUUAAUAAUUUAUGUUCUUAACUUGAAAGAGGAUAUAAAGGAAUAACUCAGCGUACCUUAUUUUAACGGAGAUUCUAAUAAUUUAUGUUCUUCUAUUCUAUGUAUGUGAUGAAGAAGAAACCUACGGCUUUAACCGUUAACGUAGGUAAGAGCAUCGGCAUUGAACCCCAUGGAAGGGAUUCACAAAGUAUUUUUUUAUUAUUAUUUUUUUCUGUUUGAUUUUUGUUUUAAAAAAAAAAAAAAUUAUUAAUCGGACCAAUCGCGGAUCGCCACGUGUCGUGGAGACCGCGCUACAGUGAUGAUCCGGGUUCAGUGCAGUGAACUCCCAAGAGAGAGGUUCAUUGCUUUUGUUUAUUUUAAUACUUUUUUUUUCGAAAACUGUGUGAACUUUCACUGAUGCUGAUGCUCUAGGAGCAUCUCUAAAAUAAACUCUAUAACUCCAAAUAUAGAGUUUUUUGCUCUCCAAAAAGAAACUUCAAAACUUUAAAUUUGAAGUUUUGAAGAGUGAAACUUCAAAUAUAGAGUUUCACUACUCAAAACUCUAAAUUUGAAGAUUCAUCUUUUUAUUUACAUCUUGGUCUUUAUAAUUAUAAUUACACAUCACAAUUAUGACUCGUAAGUAUUUUCUCAUUUAUCGUUUUAACCUUUACAGCUUUUGUAUAUCUUAAAUAUUUCAAAUUUAUUUUUAUAAAUUUAAAUUUUACAUAUAAAAUUAAAUAUUUUUUUAAAAUAAGAUCUAUAAUACUUUAAAACUAGAAUUAGCAACAAGAAUACUACAAAAAAACUUCAUAAAUUUUUUUCUAAAAAAUAUAUAUAAAGACAUAAUUAUUACAUACAUUUAAAUAUUACAACAACACUAAUAAUCUAGAAAAUUGCUCUGGAACUUCUAAAAUCUUGUCCAAACAAAUUUUGUGUAACCGAAGAUGGAUCAUUACGAAAUAAUUUUAUGUAUUUCUGUUUAUAAUUUUAUAUUUUAGUGUAAGAUUUUAUUAAUUAAUAUUACUAUAAUAUUACAUAUAUGUUAUAAAAGUUUUAUGGAUUUAUAUUAGUUAUGACAAAUAUAAGAACCGUAGUGUAAAUUACAAAUAAUUUUAAAGUUAAAUUUGAAGUUUUUUUUUGGAGAAGAGCAACACUGAAACUUCAAAUAUAGAGUUUUGCAAACUUUAAAAUAGAGUCUUUUUAGAGAUGAUCUAAGAGAUAAGCAGAAUUAGUGAUCCAAGGAUUCGGUAUAACAUCUCACGUUCAUUUGCGAUUUUCCGGAGGACUAGGCACAUAUUAGCCGUGGAAAGUAGGGGUGAUCACGGACCGAAUAUCCGGAUUUUUGGAGGUAUUCGUGAUCCAAUCCGUUUGGUAAUUAAUUAUCCGAUUCAAUUUGAUUUGUAAGUACUCGGAUAUUUGGUGUUCCAGAUAUCCGCAAAAUCUUAGAUUUUUAACCGGAUAUCUGAUUCGAUCCGUACAAAUAAAAAAACUAAAUUAAAUAAAAGUUAAUAUAUUAUAAAAUAAUAAUAUUUUGUUGCAAAAUAAAAAAUUAUUUACCUUUUUAAUUCUUAUAAUUAAUAUAAAAAAUUUAACAGAUAAAAAUAUUGUAAAAGGUAUAUAAAAUAAAAUAUUUAUAUAAGUUAUACAUUAUAUUCUUUUAAAAUAGAUGUAUAUAAAGUAUUAGUAUUUGUUUUGUUUCGUAGAGUUACAUAUAUCCGGAUUUUAAGGAUCGAAUCAAAACGAAUAACAAAUUGAAUCAAAAUUUACAGAUGUUUUGUCCAGCCCUUGUGGGAGCAUGGUUUCAAAAGUGACUUCAUUUCCGCCAGUUCAGACUCAAAUCCACGCUUUACGUUAGCAGACCUAUGGGAACAACAAAAUGCAAUACUAAAGUCCAUCGAAUAACCUUCCUGCCUUAUCUUACAACAAAGAAGAAGAAAAAGAACUUGAAACUACUACCUUCCUCAAUUUUAUUGUGUUAAUUAGACCUGAGAAUUUUAUCCGAAUCAUAACCAACAUUAAUGCCCAUGCAUAACUAACAUAAUAAAAUUGAGGAUCCAUGUUCUACUUGAGGCCCCACCUGGUACCUGAAUGAAUAAAAAUUAUAAGUUAUGUAUAUAUUCCAAUCUGGGAAUUCUGGGUAUUUGGCAUUUCAUAUAUUUUUAAGUUUUGGGUUUUUGGCUAAAAUUUCAUAUCUUUAUAUAUAUAUUUAGCUUUUUUAAUCGGGUACUUAGGUUUUUCAGGUUUUUGGAUGUUUCGAAUACUAGAUACUCAAACCAAAUCAUAAACAAUUUAUUUGGGUAUUUUAUGGCUCGAAAAAUUUAGACUCAAACCGUCCCAUUCUAAUGGAACCCGAAACAGAUGUUUUGUCCAGCCCUUGUGGGAGCAUGGUUUCAAAAGUGACUGCAUUUCCGCCAGUUCAGACUCAAAUCAACGCUUUACGUUAGCAGACCUAUGGGAACAACAAAAUGCAAUACUAGAGUCCAUCGAAUAACCUUCCUGCCUGAUCUUACAACAAAGAAGAAAAAAAAGAACUUGAAACUACUACCUUCCUCAAUUUUAUUGUGUUAAUUAGACCUGAGAAUUUUAUCCGAAUCAGAACCAACAUUAAUGCCCAUGCAUAACUAACAUAAUAAAAUUGAGGAUCCAUAUUCUACUUGAGGCCCCACCUGGUACCUGAAUGAAUAAAAAUUAUAAGUUAUGUAUAUAUUCCAAUCUGGGAAUUCUGGGUAUUUGGCAUUUCAUAUAUUUUUAAGUUUUGGGUUUUUGGCUAAAAUUUCAUAUCUUUAUAUAUAUUUUUAGCUUUUUUAAUCGGGUACUUAGGUUUUUCAGGUUUUUGGAUGUUUCGAAUACUAGAUACUCAAACCAAAUCAUAAACAAUUUAUUUGGGUAUUUUAUGGCUCGAAAAAUUUAGACUCAAACCGUCUCAUUCUAAUGGAACCCGAAACAGAAAAAAAUAUUAUAUUUACCUUCUUUUAUGAAUCCAAAUAUUUGAAUACCGAAAAACAUGGAUUCAAUGAGAACAAAUCAAACUCGAUUCAGGGAUCCGAAUACCAAACCUAGUGCUAAUCUUGCUAUUUAUUUUUUCAUUAAACGUAAAUCUAUUUUUAAAUAUUUUCAUUUAACUAAAAAGGUAGAAUUGAUUUUUUUUUCAUUUAAACUAGUUAAUUGAGGAGAAAAAUUAAGGAACUGUUCAUUUUGAACAGUCAAAUAACAUUGAUUAUUCUAAAUUUUAAAUUAAAUUAAUAAAAUGUAUCAUAUAAACUUUUAAAUAAAAGUAAAAAUGAUAAGUUUAACAAAUUCAAAAACAAAUUGUGUGUGGUGUGAAAAAUGCUUGGAUUUUUUAAAAUAAACUAUAAAUUUAUAAAUUUUGUACUUUGGUAACAAAAUUUAUUUUUUUGUAACAAAAUUUAUUUUGAAAAUAUUAUUAUGUAACAAUACUGAUUUACAUAAUUUUUUUUAUUUAUAAAUUUGAAAUGUAUGUGGAAAUUAAAUUAAGUUAAACCUACAUAAUAGAGAAUUUGUAUAUAAUGAUUAAUUAAAUCAAUUUAGUAUAUAUGUUUAAAUAAUAAACCAAAUUGGUUUUUAACUCAAGAGAAUACAAAGACGUUAAUUACAGUAGAUUAAACUCUUAUAUAUACGGUAUGAAUAAAUAUCAAAUGUUUCAUAUAUGAAGGGAGAUGUAAAUUAAUUGGAUAACAUGGUAAAAGCAUUUAAAGGUAUGACUUUUAACUGGUUUAAAUUAAAAAAAAAAUCACAUAUGAAAUAAGUCAUAAUUUAUGUGUUAAAUAGAUAGGAUAUAAUUUUAAAUUAGAAAUAGAAAUGAAUAUUUCUUUUUAAAAUAAAUGAGAUCAUGAAGGAGAAGAAAACUUAACUAUGUAUGGUAGAGACAUCUUUGUCUAAUGAUUAUCAUUAACUUGACCAACUACCCCUUGAAAAGCUAUUUUUUUAAUUAAUUAACACAUUUGCUUCAUUAGCAUCAAUAAUUAAUCACCAGAACUAUUAUUUAUGUUGACAAAACAUUACCUUAUUUAACAAAAAAAAUAUAUGGUUAAAUCAAACAUAGUGGACCCAAACUAAAAGGGUCAUUUCAUUGCUCCUCCUUAAAGGUAAGCCCUUAAUGAUUUCAUUGAUAGAAGUAAACCUAUGCUUAAGUUGGAUUAUCAAGUUCUGUCAUUUAUGUUGACAAAACAUUACCCUAUACAGUAUGUCUUUAAAAAGUUAUGUAUGUGAAGUUCAGAAUCGUUAAGGUCCAAUAAAUGCUCCUUUUCUUCACAAAACUAGGAAGGUUCCUAGUUAGUAUUUAUUACGUUCCGAUCGAGGAAUGAUGUUUCCUUAAAUGCAUUAAUGUUUAAAAUUAAAUACAUGUAUGAGUUUUAAACGUUGCUAAUCUUAAGUUUGUUUCGCUUUUUUUAUAUAGUUAAAUCUACUAAAUUGAGUAGAAUAAAAAAAUUUGCGGAGGAAAAGAUUGCGAUAUAUAGAAGCAAAAGUGAUAUUUCUAUGUGAUCAUAUUCACAUCGAUGUUUGGUACCUGAUUUGCUCCAAUCCAACGGCCCCACUUUUCCAUCAAUUUCAUCUACGUACAUAGGGUCUCGCCAUACUUGUGUGUAGCGCUAUCAUAAUAUUUUUUUUGGAACUUUAGGGCUAUCAUUUGGAACAUCGAAUUAUCUUUGAUUCAAUCAGAAAAUUUAACGUUUAAACAGCGGAAUAAGUUGUAUGAAAUGAGGGGAACGGACGGAUGAAAUUAAGAAAUAACAAUAAUCAUGGAACAGGAGUUUAAUAAUAUAUGUAGGGUGUUUUAAACUGUUAAUUUGUCGUUAUGAAUGUAAGUUAAUGUUCAGACGGAAUCAUCAAAGCAAAUAAACAUAUAUAUAACCGACAUCGAGUUGGUCCAGUGGUAAAUGGAUUGCGGCUGUAUAACUUCCGCCACUUGGUUCGAUUCGCGCUAGAAGUAACUAUUUACAAUGUUUGGGUUCCCGACAAAAAGAUGAAACUACCCUUUUUUUGCACCAAAAUAUAAACAAAACAUAUAUAACAAAAAUAAAAUGAACAAUGAUCUAAAGAUGUAUGGUGAUCGGCGAGUGUUUUACACAUUCUAUAAUAAAUUAGUAUUAAGUAUGAAUCUCAAAUAUUUGUAUAAUGAAAUCAUAUCUAUACGAAUUUAUAUGUAAAUCUUCGUCUACACUUCUUUUUUUUAUAUACAUUACCUUCGUUUACACUUCUUUCGUUAGGAUCCUAUUUGACAAUAGAAUGCCUAAUCAAUGACAAACUGAUGAUUUCCUUCAUGAUAAAAUAUUUGGGCAUGUUAGAACUUAGAAGUACGAUGAAUGGAAUGGAAUUUAGCUUAGUUAUAAAGGUGACCUACGCAAAAUAUAAUGCAAUACGUUUUAGAUACACUUGAUUUUUGAAUGCAAUACAAAAAAGUAUACGCUCAUUAAUAUUUAUUAGAUUUUUACUUGGAUGGACGAACCUGAUAUGACAUAUAUGAAUGAAAUAAAUUUAUUAUUAUAGUAUUGCAUGACUUUUUUUUUUGUCCACGGUUUCAUUUCAUAAUCUCAAAUCAGAGUACUUGAUGAACAAAGUUUAGGGACACCACCCAUUGCAAAAGCAACAACAACUAAACAGAAGGUUAUGCAUAGAUUAUAACAACAUGAUAACGGAGUGACGAGAGGGACAAGGUUGCAAACGAUAAAGGAGCCUGUAAUGUCAAUCAAAACCAACCCCGAGCGCAAGAAAAAGAAAAGAAAAAUCGAGUCCGCUAGAAUCUAAAGACUUGAGAAUCCAGAUGAAAACUUUGAUGAGGAGCUUUCUGUAGCGUUAUAGCUUUGGUGCUUUGAGUAGAACUCACGAUCCACGUUCCAUUAGCCACCAAGUCGGGAAGUUCUCAACAUACCCGACUGGAGAGGACACAUCAGCAAACUCAGAGGCAAGCAAACACCUCUUCCAAAAGAUUGAUUGCUGUGAGGUGAACCGCCAUGCCAAAUAGUCAAACCUGAAACAAUAACAUCCAUAGCCAGAAAGACAGAAGUCCAGAUAACAUCCUCAUUUUGAGGUAAAGGGAGCUUAAACCUGAAGAUCAAAGAGCUUAUAAAUCCUCAAUACGAGGUAAAGAACCAUUCAAAAACAGCAUAAUCUCUUGUUUGCAAGGAAACAAAGAUCUCCUACUAAGACAAUUAAAUUCUUCUCGGAGGCAAUGAUCAAACAAGAAUGACUCACUCCAGUAGGAUAUAAACACCAUACCUUGCGAAAGCAUGAAGCAAGGGAAGAUGGAUCCAACAACAUGUGACCAAGGUUUCAAAUGAAGGAUAUGCUUUGACUGAGAAUUGCAAAUAGCAGUAGAGAGCUGCACUCCAAAAGGUUGCACUGAG